CUACGGGUCGCACCAGUGAGGAAUAUUGCACAAUGGGGGGAACCCUGAUGCAGCAACGCCGCGUGGAGGAUGACGCAUUUCGGUGUGUAAACUCCCUUUAUAUGUCAAGAAAAUGACGGUAGCAUAUGAAUAAGCACCGGCUAACUCCGUGCCAGCAGCCGCGGUAAUACGGAGGGUGCAAGCGUUACUCGGAAUCACUGGGCGUAAAGGACGCGUAGGCGGGUUGGAAAGUCAGGUGUGAAAUCUUACAGCUUAACUGUAGAACUGCACUUGAAACUUCUAAUCUAGAGUAUGGGAGGGGGAGAUGGAAUUAGUGGUGUAGGGGUAAAAUCCGUAGAUAUCACUAGGAAUACCUAAAGCGAAGGCGAUCUCCUGGAACAUUACUGACGCUAAGGCGUGAAAGCGUGGGGAGCAAACAGGAUUAGAUACCCGGGUAGUC
RNAcentral lists this ribosomal RNA (439 nucleotides) under uncultured bacterium. RNAcentral's name for it is "partial 16S ribosomal RNA". It matches the Rfam family "Bacterial small subunit ribosomal RNA", at positions 339 to 795 of the family's 1533-position model. The record is from RNAcentral.